RNAcentral lists this ribosomal RNA (253 nucleotides) under [Ruminococcus] lactaris ATCC 29176. Its description in RNAcentral is "partial 16S ribosomal RNA". It matches the Rfam family "Bacterial small subunit ribosomal RNA", at positions 524 to 776 of the family's 1533-position model. Lineage: Bacteria; Bacillati; Bacillota; Clostridia; Lachnospirales; Lachnospiraceae. The record is from RNAcentral. RNAcentral also lists the same sequence under 2 other names.
UACGUAGGGGGCAAGCGUUAUCCGGAUUUACUGGGUGUAAAGGGAGCGUAGACGGAGCAGCAAGUCUGAUGUGAAAACCCGGGGCUCAACCCCGGGACUGCAUUGGAAACUGUUGAUCUGGAGUGCCGGAGAGGUAAGCGGAAUUCCUAGUGUAGCGGUGAAAUGCGUAGAUAUUAGGAGGAACACCAGUGGCGAAGGCGGCUUACUGGACGGUAACUGACGUUGAGGCUCGAAAGCGUGGGGAGCAAACAGG